GUCAGUGUAUGGAGUCUUAGGUUUCUGUUUUCCUGACUUUUCGCUUUUCUGAUGACCCUCUUGGUGCCUGGAAAGAAUGAUAAGGUCAUGGAUGGUGGGGUGGAGAAUGUCAUGUGAAUUGGCUGCCCUCUGCUUUCUACCAUUCUGAGCCAACAAUAAACUUCAGGAGCUGUGGACCAGAGAUGUGGCCAUCAGAGAGGGGAGGGCUGAGCUAGAUUGUUUGUAUGAAAGAGGCAAGAUUUUCUAUCUCCUAUGGCUAUAUUUUAUGUCACAGGCUCUCAGAGUUUAGAACCUCAUGUGCCCUCUCUCUUUGGCUUUUUUUCCUACUGCUCAGGGCCCAGCUGUGCUGCUGUGUUAACCUGGAGGCAUUAUGGAACAGGUAAGUAAGCCAUUGGCAUCCAUCCACUGGACAAGGCUUUGCUUUGAUCAACACCAUCAAUUGCAGCUGAUAAUAGGAACUAUGGGCUAAUGAGGGAAAUAAGACUUGGCUCUGUUGACAAGAGCCAGGGAAACUUCACACCUCUUCCUCUUGGAACUUGCAGGAUGAGGUUAGGCCAGUGGGGCCAAGGAAUGCUCCCACCUUGGAGAGCUCCCGCCCUGACAGUUGAGGGGGGAUUGAGGGGCGAGCAGGUGGGAUACAGACGCCUUUGGAAGUGACCUCUUGUGGCUAAUCUAGGCACUGCACUCUGCAUGGACAAGAGCUUCUCCAUCCUUCAAGGUGGCUUGUGCUAGAGCCAGGGGUAGGCAGCAUGAGUGGUCAAGACUUCCCUUUUGGAAGACUGUAGAAGCAGAAGGUGCUGGUUGCUGCUAUUAUUUCUUUCAUGGAUUUUUCUCUACUGGUUUCUGAGCUCCCAUAAUUUCCUGUUGCCUGCCUCUUGCUGUCACUCUUGGAGAGCAGCAAUGCAGGGCACACCUCUCAGCAUGGAAUGUGCAUACUGGGGGCCAACGCUGGGCACUUUCCAUCUUUGUAGGUGCUGGGGCCCAUAGGGAAGGGGCAAACUUGAGCACAUCCUCCCAGCCACCUUUUUCCAGAGCCCAUGGUUAGGGCCUUUGCCUAACUUAGGAUCCAAGCCCGUAAGCUGCAUUACCACUGCUCCUGACAAUCUAAGGGUUUUGUAAGGCCAAGCCAGAUUAGGGCUUCAUGUUUUGGGGAUCAGUCUCUGUUUCCUAUUCUAAUUUCCCAAGCCUUGCUUACUUAGAAAUAAGGGGAAGGAGAGAUGCAUCAGACUUCCUGAGCCUAGUUAGCAUUGAGAAGGGCAUCAGUGGCGUUGAGAAGGGAUUUGGGAGUGUGCCAGCCUGUAGUUCUGGACCUGGCAAAGAGGAGGAAAUAAGGCAUUGGGUGGAUGUGCAGUGGGGUUCCUGGGCUCCCACAUCCCUGUAACAUCAGCCAUUGGGGCCUCUGAUUUUGCCUGCUAUCUGUUGCACUGUCCCUUUUGGUACAGGGGACCCUGUUCAACUGCAUGCAAUAAUUUCUUUUAAAAUAAAAUCUGAGCACUUUGGGUGGCUGAGGUGGGAGGAUCACUUGAGCCCAGGAGUUGGAGACCAGCCUGGGCAACAUAGUAAGACCCCAUCUCUACAAUAAUUUUUUUUUAAAUUAGCCAUGUGUGGUGGCCUGCAUCUAUAGUCUUAACUAUUCAGGAGGCUGAGGUGGAUCACUUGAGCCUUGGAGGUUGAGGCUGCAGUGAACCGUGAUCCAGUCACUGCAUUCCACCCUGGUUGACAGAGUGAGACCCUAUCUCAAAAACAGUAGUAAUAAAAUAAAAUCUGAAGAUGAUUGAUUGGUGGGUCUAGCAUGCCUUCUGGUCCUGAAGUCCAUAUCCCAUUUAUCUCCCACCUCCCGUCCCUCCAAGAAAGCAUCAUUCACCUGGCCAUUGCUUUUUUUUUUUUUUUUUUUUUUUU
Molecule: long non-coding RNA, 1899 nt
Filed under: Homo sapiens (human)
Lineage: Eukaryota; Metazoa; Chordata; Mammalia; Primates; Hominidae
Description: non-protein coding lnc-ERAL1-5:2
Source: RNAcentral